GAUGAACGCUGGCGGCGUGCCUAAUACAUGCAAGUCGAACGCUUCACUUCGGUGAAGAGUGGCGAACGGGUGAGUAAUACAUAAGUAACCUGGCAUCUACAGGGGGAUAACUGAUGGAAACGUCAGCUAAGACCGCAUAGGUGUAGAGAUCGCAUGAACUCUAUAUGAAAAGUGCUACGGGACUGGUAGAUGAUGGACUUAUGGCGCAUUAGCUUGUUGGUAGGGUAACGGCCUACCAAGGCGACGAUGCGUAGCCGACCUGAGAGGGUGACCGGUCACACUGGGACUGAGACACGGCCCAGACUCCUACGGGAGGCAGCAGUAGGGAAUUUUCGGCAAUGGGGGAAACCCUGACCGAGCAACGCCGCGUGAAGGAAGAAGUAAUUCGUUAUGUAAACUUCUGUCAUAGAGGAAGAACGGUGGAUAUAGGGAAUGAUAUCCAAGUGACGGUACUCUAUAAGAAAGCCACGGCUAACUACGUG
RNAcentral lists this ribosomal RNA (482 nucleotides) under uncultured bacterium. RNAcentral's name for it is "partial 16S ribosomal RNA". It matches the Rfam family "Bacterial small subunit ribosomal RNA", at positions 28 to 507 of the family's 1533-position model. The record is from RNAcentral.